RNAcentral lists this unclassified non-coding RNA (255 nucleotides) under Hevea brasiliensis (rubber tree). The record is from RNAcentral. Lineage: Eukaryota; Viridiplantae; Streptophyta; Magnoliopsida; Malpighiales; Euphorbiaceae.
GUUGGAGCAAUCUAGAGGGUCGACUAAAAACAGAAGCUUUUACAGCCACCUGCAAAUCGGAAGCCGCUUAUUUUAAAUUAACCUAGCCCGAUGUUGAACCUCAAAAGCAACAAACACCACCAGCUUCAUCGGUCGCUAUCAAAAAGGAAAGAGGAUAAAGCUCAUGGCCUCUCAAUCUCUUAUGGUCUUAAGUCGUGUCAUCAAUGGGGUCGUGUAGGUGGCUUUUUCGAUAAUGAAGGUUUUGUUAAUGGAGAG